UGUGUGCUGGAGGAUGAUGAUAAGGAGUGAUCCAUCGGCUAAGUGUCUUAUCACAAUGCUGAAACUCAGACUGCUGACAGCACGCA
RNAcentral lists this small nucleolar RNA (86 nucleotides) under Castor canadensis (American beaver). Its description in RNAcentral is "Small nucleolar RNA SNORD71 (ENSCCNG00000027101.1)". It matches the Rfam family "Small nucleolar RNA SNORD71". Rfam says of the family: snoRNA HBII-239 belongs to the family of C/D snoRNAs. It is the human orthologue of the mouse MBII-239 described and is predicted to guide 2'O-ribose methylation of 5.8S rRNA on residue U14. Lineage: Eukaryota; Metazoa; Chordata; Mammalia; Rodentia; Castoridae. The record is from Rfam by way of RNAcentral.